UUCGCAUUUCCCUCUGUCUCGAUCCUGAAUCAUUUGAACUCUGGACCUCAAUUCAGGUAGGACUACCCGCUGAACUUAAGCAUUCAACACGGAAGAAAAA
RNAcentral lists this ribosomal RNA (100 nucleotides) under Boletus edulis. RNAcentral's name for it is "partial 28S ribosomal RNA". Lineage: Eukaryota; Fungi; Basidiomycota; Agaricomycetes; Boletales; Boletaceae. The record is from RNAcentral.